UACCUGGUUGAUUCUGCCAGUAGUCAUAUGCUUGUCACAAAGAUUAAGCCGUGGAUGUCUAAGUAUAAGCAACUUUGGACUGGGAAACUGCGAAGGGCUCAAUAAAACAGUUAUAAUUUAUUUGAUGGUUUUUGCUACAUGGAUAACUGGGGUAAUUCUAAAACUAAUACAUGCAUUCAAGCCCCGACUUCGGGAAGGGGUGUAUUUAAUAAAUAAAAAUCCACUUGUGGUGGAAAACAUAAUAACUUCUCGAACCGCAUGGCCUUGGGGUGGCGGUGCUUCUUUCAAAUAUCUGCCCUAUCAACUGUCGAUGGGGAAAUAGAGGCCUACCGUGUUUGCGACGGGUAACGGGGAAUAAGGUCUCUAUUCCGGAGAGAGAGCCUGAGAGACUUCUACCACAUCCGAAGAAGGCAGCGNGCGCGCAAAUUACCCUCUCCCCACGGGGGGAGGUAGUGACAAUAUGUAACUAUAUACGGCCUUAUACGUCGUAUGAUUGGAAUGAAUACAUUUUAACUCCCUUCACUAAGAACUAUUGGAGGGCAAGUCUGGUUCCAGCACCCGCGGUAAUUCCAGCUCACAUAGCAUAUAUUAUAGUUGUUGCAAUUAAAAUACUCGUAGUUGGACCUUGGACCUGGACAUGCAGUCCGCCUCACGAGGAGUACUGUGAUGGUGGGUCUUUCCUCUUGAGGAUCUGUGAGUUCGGCAGCCAGCAACCAGGACCUUUUCUUUUAAAAAAUUAGAAUGUUCGAGGGCUGCUCGACGGCUGUAAUUCUUAGCAUGAAAUAAUUAAAAUGGACGGGGCGUUCUAGUUUGUUGAGUUUGGAAACGCCCGAAAGAAUGAAAGGACAGUCCGGGACAUUACGCCUGCCAUGCUAAAAGUGAAUUCCUGGGAAUAUUCUAAAACUACGUCAGCAAAAACAUUGGCAAAGAAUUUUUCUUUAACCAGGACCAAGGUUCAGGAGUACAAAACGGGUUUGUUCCCUUUGUAACCUAACGGUAAACUUUGCCCACCAGAGAUCGGUCAAUGUGAACUUUUUGAAUCCUUCGGGACCUUAACAAAAUUCAAAUUUUUUGGAUCCUGGGGGGAAUUGUGGUCCCAAGGAA
RNAcentral lists this ribosomal RNA (1104 nucleotides) under uncultured eukaryote. RNAcentral describes it as "bacterial SSU rRNA". It matches the Rfam family "Eukaryotic small subunit ribosomal RNA", at positions 1 to 1138 of the family's 1831-position model. The record is from RNAcentral.